AGAGUUUGAUCAUGGCUCAGGACGAACGCUGGCGGCGUGCUUAACACAUGCAAGUCGAGCGGGAACCUGAGGAGGGGUAACCCUCUUCAGGGGAGAGCGGCGAACGGGUGAGUAUCACGUGGGCAACCUGCCCCGGACACCGGGAUAACCCAGGGAAACCUGAGCUAAUACCGGAUACUUCGGCACGAUCGCAUGGUCGUGCCGGGAAAGCUCCGACGGUCCGGGAUGGGCCCGCGGCCUAUCAGCUUGUUGGUGGGGUAACGGCCCACCAAGGCGACGACGGGUAGCUGGUCUGAGAGGACGGCCAGCCACACUGGGACUGAGACACGGCCCAGACUCCUACGGGAGGCAGCAGUGGGGGAUCUUGCGCCAAUGCGCGAAAGCGUGACGCAGCGACGCCGCGUGGGGGAUGAAGGCCCUCGGGUUGUAAACCCCUUUCGGCAGGGACGAAGGGAAACUGACGGUACCUGUAGAAGAAGUCCCGGCUAACUACGUGCCAG
This 500-nucleotide ribosomal RNA is filed under the name uncultured bacterium. RNAcentral's name for it is "bacterial SSU rRNA". It matches the Rfam family "Bacterial small subunit ribosomal RNA", at positions 8 to 511 of the family's 1533-position model. The record is from RNAcentral.